CUGAGGCCGACGCUGGGGUUGCAUUUCCUCCCCCAGCUGCACACAAACACAGACCCGGGCAAGUGUUUCACGCCGGAGCCCCUGCCCCCGUGCCCACCCCGCCCUGUGUGCCUGGCAACAGAGAAGGGAAAGCACUUCCCGUGCUAAGACCUCCCUGGGGAACGCGAGGCCUGGGCCGAGGGAAAAAUGAGGCUGGCAGGGGGCCAGCAGCCAGUUCUUCAGCCGCCCCUACAGGGUCAGGACCAGGGUUCCAGCCGGCUCUGUUCAGGGUGCUCGGGUUCAGUUUGGCAGGUCUUUGAGCACCUCCUAUGUGCAGAAACCCAAAUGUUGUGGAGAAAGCAGAGAAGACCCAGGCUCCAUGUACAGGGACCUCCUCGCGGGUACAGGGAACCUGCCGACACCGCGGUGACCUGAAGGGAUGGUGGGGAGAGGGUCCCACCGGGGGGCCACCUGGGGGCAUGUAGGAGACAAAGCUGCUUCCUGACUUUCUUCCGGGGGAAUAGAAGGCAUGCGGGCUUUGGUGGGUAUUCUCAGCCUCCUGAGCUUCCCACGACCUCUUUCUUUCAGGGCCUGUUGCUCUUUGGUCUCAGACGUCGGAUUUUGGGGAACAUGCUAGCAUUCUCUGAGCCUCCCGGCCAUGGUGCUCUUUGCGGGUGCAGGAGGCCUGUCUGGUUCAGGAGAACUUGAGCAGCGGAAGCCUAUGAGGAAGGAGACCUUACUUCCAUGUUCCCCCAUGUGGCUGCUUCAGGGAGCUGUCACAUGGGGGGCUGUGGGCAUGAGAGAUGCAGAGCCCCAAGCCCUGGGCUGGCCUCAGGCGGCAGCGCUGGGGUGUAGGCCGUUCCCCAGGUCUGCUCAGGGUGGAGCGCCCACCUCGCCGGGUCCUCCAAGGUCCACAGCCCUUCUUCAACCUCCCCAGACCUACUUGCGUUUAGUGUCUGUCAAAGUCUUCAGCAUCUGAGUAUCUCCAGGAGGACUCCCUGAAGCCAGUGGCGUCAGCGUUUGCUCAAGCAAGGCCUGCAUUACCAGAACCCACUGCCAGGCAUGUGCUCUAGCGUCUCCUGAUUCCCACCUGACCCAACUGGCUGCUAACAUUGCCUGCUGAGACUGAGAAGACAUGAAAACCCCGGGCAUCUCCCAUGAGGCUGCAGACGGAGCGUGAGGAUGUAGACAUUGUUCAACUCGCAGGCUGGCUGUCAGAUUGGGGUUUCUUCUGCUUUGCAUGUCUGUGAGGACUUCUUUCACAGAGAAUGUUUUAGGAGUGUUUUCACAAAAACUAAGCUUACUGUACAUAG
Long non-coding RNA from Manis pentadactyla (Chinese pangolin), 1292 nucleotides. RefSeq lists it as uncharacterized. The transcript is spliced from 3 exons. The record is from RefSeq and is a predicted model, not a curated record. Lineage: Eukaryota; Metazoa; Chordata; Mammalia; Pholidota; Manidae.